RNAcentral lists this ribosomal RNA (1180 nucleotides) under Klebsiella michiganensis. Its description in RNAcentral is "partial 23S ribosomal RNA". It matches the Rfam family "Bacterial large subunit ribosomal RNA", at positions 1765 to 2925 of the family's 2925-position model. Lineage: Bacteria; Pseudomonadati; Pseudomonadota; Gammaproteobacteria; Enterobacterales; Enterobacteriaceae. The record is from RNAcentral.
AGCUGAAAUCAGUCGAAGAUACCAGCUGGCUGCAACUGUUUAUUAAAAACACAGCACUGUGCAAACACGAAAGUGGACGUAUACGGUGUGACGCCUGCCCGGUGCCGGAAGGUUAAUUGAUGGGGUUAUCCUCGCGGAGAAGCUCUUGAUCGAAGCCCCGGUAAACGGCGGCCGUAACUAUAACGGUCCUAAGGUAGCGAAAUUCCUUGUCGGGUAAGUUCCGACCUGCACGAAUGGCGUAAUGAUGGCCAGGCUGUCUCCACCCGAGACUCAGUGAAAUUGAACUCGCUGUGAAGAUGCAGUGUACCCGCGGCAAGACGGAAAGACCCCGUGAACCUUUACUAUAGCUUGACACUGAACACUGGUCCUUGAUGUGUAGGAUAGGUGGGAGGCUUUGAAGUGUGGACGCCAGUCUGCAUGGAGCCAUCCUUGAAAUACCACCCUUUAAUGGCUGGUGUUCUAACGUGGGCCCGUAAUCCGGGUUGCGGACAGUGUCUGGUGGGUAGUUUGACUGGGGCGGUCUCCUCCUAAAGAGUAACGGAGGAGCACGAAGGUCAGCUAAUCCUGGUCGGACAUCAGGAGGUUAGUGCAAUGGCAUAAGCUGGCUUGACUGCGAGCGUGACGGCGCGAGCAGGUGCGAAAGCAGGUCAUAGUGAUCCGGUGGUUCUGAAUGGAAGGGCCAUCGCUCAACGGAUAAAAGGUACUCCGGGGAUAACAGGCUGAUACCGCCCAAGAGUUCAUAUCGACGGCGGUGUUUGGCACCUCGAUGUCGGCUCAUCACAUCCUGGGGCUGAAGUAGGUCCCAAGGGUAUGGCUGUUCGCCAUUUAAAGUGGUACGCGAGCUGGGUUUAGAACGUCGUGAGACAGUUCGGUCCCUAUCUGCCGUGGGCGCUGGAGAAUUGAGGGGGGCUGCUCCUAGUACGAGAGGACCGGAGUGGACGCAUCACUGGUGUUCGGGUUGUCAUGCCAAUGGCAUUGCCCGGUAGCUAAAUGCGGAAGAGAUAAGUGCUGAAAGCAUCUAAGCACGAAACUUGCCCCGAGAUGAGUUCUCCCUGACCCUUUAAGGGUCCUGAAGGAACGUUGAAGACGACGACGUUGAUAGGCCGGGUGUGUAAGCGCAGCGAUGCGUUGAGCUAACCGGUACUAAUGAACCGUGAGGCUUAACCUUACAACGCCGAAG